GCCUCUGUAGACGAGUGGUCGCCUCCCGAUACACAUUGUCUUUGAAAAUGGAGGUUAAUUCGGGUCGUGAGGGUUCGACUCCCUCCGGAGGUA
Non-coding RNA from Mycena olivaceomarginata, 93 nucleotides. The record is from the annotation of a GenBank genome assembly. Lineage: Eukaryota; Fungi; Basidiomycota; Agaricomycetes; Agaricales; Mycenaceae.